RNAcentral lists this ribosomal RNA (497 nucleotides) under uncultured bacterium. RNAcentral's name for it is "partial 16S ribosomal RNA". It matches the Rfam family "Bacterial small subunit ribosomal RNA", at positions 28 to 507 of the family's 1533-position model. The record is from RNAcentral.
GAUGAACGCUGGCGGCGUGCCUAAUACAUGCAAGUCGAGCGAACAGAUAAGGAGCUUGCUCCUUUGACGUUAGCGGCGGACGGGUGAGUAACACGUGGAUAACCUACCUAUAAGACUGGGAUAACUUCGGGAAACCGGGGCUAAUACCGGAUAACAUAUUGAACCGCAUGGUUCAAUAGUGAAAGGCGGCUUUGCUGUCACUUAUAGAUGGAUCCGCGCCGUAUUAGCUAGUUGGUAAGGUAACGGCUUACCAAGGCAACGAUACGUAGCCGACCUGAGAGGGUGAUCGGCCACACUGGAACUGAGACACGGUCCAGACUCCUACGGGAGGCAGCAGUAGGGAAUCUUCCGCAAUGGGCGAAAGCCUGACGGAGCAACGCCGCGUGAGUGAUGAAGGUCUUCGGAUCGUAAAACUCUGUUAUCAGGGAAGAACAAAUGUGUAAGUAACUGUGCACAUCUUGACGGUACCUGAUCAGAAAGCCACGGCUAACUACGUG